AACAACAUACUACUUUCAUAAAAGAGAGCAUCAACAGUUGAGGGUUCUUCUGUCGAGAGGGGACUAUGACAAGAAUACUGAACUUCAUAACAGUUAGCCUUGGUAGUUUUCUAGUCCCCAUGGCCACAACCCUACAUGUAGGUAGAUCUGCACUUGAAAGGCAACCUUAAACUUAAGGCCCAAACACCAAAAUUAAAUUCC
RNAcentral lists this long non-coding RNA (201 nucleotides) under Vitis vinifera (wine grape). RNAcentral describes it as "long non-coding RNA (VVIN_LNC000216)". Lineage: Eukaryota; Viridiplantae; Streptophyta; Magnoliopsida; Vitales; Vitaceae. The record is from RNAcentral.